Molecule: long non-coding RNA, 245 nt
Filed under: Elaeis guineensis (African oil palm)
Lineage: Eukaryota; Viridiplantae; Streptophyta; Magnoliopsida; Arecales; Arecaceae
Description: long non-coding RNA (EGUI_LNC015886)
Source: RNAcentral
AUCGAAUCAGUCAUCACAUGAUUGAUCUAAUUGGCAUAGGCUAAACCAAAAUGCCUUGACAACUAUUGAAUCCAAUCAUUCAAUUGAUCAGGUAAGUGAGAUCAGUGGAAGGAUGUGCCAUUAAUUCGUCGUAGGCUAAAUUAUCUACGUUAGUAGCCUCCAAAUUAAAAACCAUCGAUCGAGACUUGUUUUAGAUACCAAAUGACUUAUUAGUUUCAAUUAGUCAACUUAGAUGAAUCGAAUUC